UACGAAGGGUGCAAGCGUUACUCGGAAUUACUGGGCGUAAAGCGUGCGUAGGCGGUAUGUUAAGUCUGAUGUGAAAUCCCCGGGCUCAACCUGGGAAUGGCAUUGGAUACUGGCAGGCUAGAGUACGGUAGAGGGUGGUGGAAUUCCCGGUGUAGCAGUGAAAUGCGUAGAGAUCGGGAGGAACAUCUGUGGCGAAGGCGGCCACCUGGACCAGUACUGACGCUGAGGCACGAAAGCGUGGGGAGCAAACAGG
RNAcentral lists this ribosomal RNA (253 nucleotides) under uncultured bacterium. Its description in RNAcentral is "partial 16S ribosomal RNA". It matches the Rfam family "Bacterial small subunit ribosomal RNA", at positions 524 to 776 of the family's 1533-position model. The record is from RNAcentral.